This is a long non-coding RNA of Vidua chalybeata, 837 nucleotides long. RefSeq lists it as uncharacterized. The transcript has 5 exons. Lineage: Eukaryota; Metazoa; Chordata; Aves; Passeriformes; Viduidae. The record is from RefSeq and is a predicted model, not a curated record.
UCAGCCCUCAGCCGCUGCGCCCUCCCGCCCUCGGUGGGUGCUCUCUGAAAUUUGAGGGGUUGUUUCGCCUUUCUUUUUUUUUUUUUUCUUUUAAUAAUCCGCAAAGGCGAGUGAGGCUGAGGGAGGAGGAGUGAGUUAGCAAAAAGAAAAAGAUAUAUAUAUAUUUAAAAAAAAAAAAAAAAUUGAAACCCCACAAGCCCGUUUGCCGUGUGAAGCUGCGGGGAUGCUGAGGGAUGGCGAUGCUGAAGGAAGGGGAUGCGCCCCGCCCCGGGCUGUGAGCGCGAAGUCGUUGUCCAAAGGUGCCCAGGGGAGCGAGCACAUGGAGCAGCCAGGAAGCUGGGAGAGCAGAUCUGGACCAGCAACCAAACUCAGCAGGAGCACACCCAGAUCUCAGAGACUGUGGAAAGAAGGGCUGGCUGUGUCCUGCUUGCACUGCCCUCAGCUAUGGAAGACAAUACUCGUUCCACUGGAUGGCAGGGAGAGGAUUCUGAGCCUGCAGGAGCCCACAACGGCCAGCACCUGAGCAAGGGACCUGGACAGACUGAAGAAGACAUGAUGGCAACCUGAAGAAAAAGACUGAAUCAGGACCUGCUGCUGAGCCAUCCUCCCUCACCAUCUCAGGCAGACAGGCCUUGGCACCCUAGCAGCACUCAAGCACUCCCAGGUCUCGUGUGUUUGCAUGUGAAACCAACUUCUCUGAAAUUCAUCCUGCUCCUACAUAAUGGCUGUUCUGCCUACUGCAGGAUAAAAUUAACUUCAAGGAGGGAAUGACCUCGCUUGCCACUCUGCUUUGUAGGAGCGAUGUGCCAGCAAUGCUAAUAAAGUGUUAUCAAUUCA